AGAGUUUGAUCAUGGCUCAGAGCGAACGCNNGGCGGCGUUAACACAUGCAAGUCGAACGCGCAGCAUUCUGUAGCAAUACAGGGUGUGGGCGCGUGGCGAACGGGUGCGUAACACGUGGAUACCUUCCUUGAGGUGGGGAAUAACCCAGUGAAAAUUGGGCUAAUACCGCAUAACAUCGCGAUGGCACAUGCUGAUGCGAUCAAAGGCGCAAGUCGCCACAAGAGGGAUCCGCGGCCGAUUAGCUUGUUGGCGAGGUAAUGGCUCACCAAGGCAAUGAUCGGUAGCCGGACUGAGAGGUUGGCCGGCCACACUGGAACUGAGACACGGUCCAGACUCCUACGGGAGGCAGCAGUGGGGAAUCUUGCACAAUGGACGAAAGUCUGAUGCAGCAACGCCGCGUGGGGGAUGAAGCUUCUCGGAGUGUAAACCCCUUUCGACCCGGAAGAAUGCCCGCAAGGGUAUGACGGUACGGGUAUAAGAAGCCCCGGCUAACUACGUGCCAGCAGCCGCGGUAAUACGUAGGGGGCCAGCGUUGCUCGGAAUUACUGGGCGUAAAGGGUCCGUAGGCGGUGUAGCAAGUCGAUAGUGAAAUCUCUGGGCUUAACCCAGAGGCUGCUAACGAAACUGCUGUGCUAGAGUGUGAGAGAGGCGAGUGGAAUUACGGGUGUAGCGGUGAAAUGCGUAGAUAUCCGUAGGAACAUCCGAGGCGAAGGCGGCUCGCUGGAUCACAACUGACGCUGAGGGACGAAAGCUAGGGGAGCAAACAGGAUUAGAUACCCUAGUAGUCC
Molecule: ribosomal RNA, 789 nt
Filed under: uncultured bacterium
Lineage: Bacteria
Description: bacterial SSU rRNA
Rfam family: Bacterial small subunit ribosomal RNA
Source: RNAcentral